CGGGACGGGUGAGUAAUGCUUGGGAAUCUGGCUUAUGGAGGGGGAUAACUACGGGAAACUGUAGCUAAUACCGCGUAAUAUCUUCGGAUUAAAGGGUGGGACUUUCGGGCCACCUGCCAUAAGAUGAGCCCAAGUGGGAUUAGGUAGUUGGUUAGGUAAAGGCUGACCAAGCCGACGAUCUCUAGCUGGUCUGAGAGGAUGACCAGCCACACUGGAACUGAGACACGGUCCAG
RNAcentral lists this ribosomal RNA (233 nucleotides) under uncultured bacterium. Its description in RNAcentral is "partial 16S ribosomal RNA". It matches the Rfam family "Bacterial small subunit ribosomal RNA", at positions 100 to 334 of the family's 1533-position model. The record is from RNAcentral.